UGGGGAAUAUUGCACAAUGGGCGCAAGCCUGAUGCAGCCAUGCCGCGUGUAUGAAGAAGGCCUUCGGGUUGUAAAGUACUUUCGGUCGGGAGGAAGGUGGUAAGGUUAAUAACCUUAUCAAUUGACGUUACCGACAGAAGAAGCACCGGCUAACUCCGUGCCAGCAGCCGCGGUAAUACGGAGGGUGCAAGCGUUAAUCGGAAUUACUGGGCGUAAAGCGCACGCAGGCGGUUGAUUGAGUCAGAUGUGAAAUCCCCGGGCUUAACCCGGGAAUUGCAUCUGAUACUGGUCAGCUAGAGUCUUGUAGAGGGGGGUAGAAUUCCAUGUGUAGCGGUGAAAUGCGUAGAGAUCUGGAGGAAUACCGGUGGCGAAGGCGGCCCCCUGGACGAAGACUGACGCUCAGGUGCGAAAGCGUGGGGAGCAAACAGG
This 429-nucleotide ribosomal RNA is filed under the name Chloroflexota bacterium. Its description in RNAcentral is "Chloroflexi bacterium partial 16S ribosomal RNA". It matches the Rfam family "Bacterial small subunit ribosomal RNA", at positions 355 to 776 of the family's 1533-position model. Lineage: Bacteria; Bacillati; Chloroflexota. The record is from RNAcentral.